RNAcentral lists this ribosomal RNA (2582 nucleotides) under Staphylococcus aureus. Its description in RNAcentral is "bacterial LSU rRNA". It matches the Rfam family "Bacterial large subunit ribosomal RNA", at positions 336 to 2925 of the family's 2925-position model. Lineage: Bacteria; Bacillati; Bacillota; Bacilli; Caryophanales; Staphylococcaceae. The record is from RNAcentral.
AAUCAUCUGGAAAGAUGAAUCAAAGAAGGUAAUAAUCCUGUAGUCGAAAAUGUUGUCUCUCUUGAGUGGAUCCUGAGUACGACGGAGCACGUGAAAUUCCGUCGGAAUCUGGGAGGACCAUCUCCUAAGGCUAAAUACUCUCUAGUGACCGAUAGUGAACCAGUACCGUGAGGGAAAGGUGAAAAGCACCCCGGAAGGGGAGUGAAAUAGAACCUGAAACCGUGUGCUUACAAGUAGUCAGAGCCCGUUAAUGGGUGAUGGCGUGCCUUUUGUAGAAUGAACCGGCGAGUUACGAUUUGAUGCAAGGUUAAGCAGUAAAUGUGGAGCCGUAGCGAAAGCGAGUCUGAAUAGGGCGUUUAGUAUUUGGUCGUAGACCCGAAACCAGGUGAUCUACCCUUGGUCAGGUUGAAGUUCAGGUAACACUGAAUGGAGGACCGAACCGACUUACGUUGAAAAGUGAGCGGAUGAACUGAGGGUAGCGGAGAAAUUCCAAUCGAACCUGGAGAUAGCUGGUUCUCUCCGAAAUAGCUUUAGGGCUAGCCUCAAGUGAUGAUUAUUGGAGGUAGAGCACUGUUUGGACGAGGGGCCCCUCUCGGGUUACCGAAUUCAGACAAACUCCGAAUGCCAAUUAAUUUAACUUGGGAGUCAGAACAUGGGUGAUAAGGUCCGUGUUCGAAAGGGAAACAGCCCAGACCACCAGCUAAGGUCCCAAAAUAUAUGUUAAGUGGAAAAGGAUGUGGCGUUGCCCAGACAACUAGGAUGUUGGCUUAGAAGCAGCCAUCAUUUAAAGAGUGCGUAAUAGCUCACUAGUCGAGUGACACUGCGCCGAAAAUGUACCGGGGCUAAACAUAUUACCGAAGCUGUGGAUUGUCCUUUGGACAAUGGUAGGAGAGCGUUCUAAGGGCGUUGAAGCAUGAUCGUAAGGACAUGUGGAGCGCUUAGAAGUGAGAAUGCCGGUGUGAGUAGCGAAAGACGGGUGAGAAUCCCGUCCACCGAUUGACUAAGGUUUCCAGAGGAAGGCUCGUCCGCUCUGGGUUAGUCGGGUCCUAAGCUGAGGCCGACAGGCGUAGGCGAUGGAUAACAGGUUGAUAUUCCUGUACCACCUAUAAUCGUUUUAAUCGAUGGGGGGACGCAGUAGGAUAGGCGAAGCGUGCGAUUGGAUUGCACGUCUAAGCAGUAAGGCUGAGUAUUAGGCAAAUCCGGUACUCGUUAAGGCUGAGCUGUGAUGGGGAGAAGACAUUGUGUCUUCGAGUCGUUGAUUUCACACUGCCGAGAAAAGCCUCUAGAUAGAAAAUAGGUGCCCGUACCGCAAACCGACACAGGUAGUCAAGAUGAGAAUUCUAAGGUGAGCGAGCGAACUCUCGUUAAGGAACUCGGCAAAAUGACCCCGUAACUUCGGGAGAAGGGGUGCUCUUUAGGGUUAACGCCCAGAAGAGCCGCAGUGAAUAGGCCCAAGCGACUGUUUAUCAAAAACACAGGUCUCUGCUAAACCGUAAGGUGAUGUAUAGGGGCUGACGCCUGCCCGGUGCUGGAAGGUUAAGAGGAGUGGUUAGCUUCUGCGAAGCUACGAAUCGAAGCCCCAGUAAACGGCGGCCGUAACUAUAACGGUCCUAAGGUAGCGAAAUUCCUUGUCGGGUAAGUUCCGACCCGCACGAAAGGCGUAACGAUUUGGGCACUGUCUCAACGAGAGACUCGGUGAAAUCAUAGUACCUGUGAAGAUGCAGGUUACCCGCGACAGGACGGAAAGACCCCGUGGAGCUUUACUGUAGCCUGAUAUUGAAAUUCGGCACAGCUUGUACAGGAUAGGUAGGAGCCUUUGAAACGUGAGCGCUAGCUUACGUGGAGGCGCUGGUGGGAUACUACCCUAGCUGUGUUGGCUUUCUAACCCGCACCACUUAUCGUGGUGGGAGACAGUGUCAGGCGGGCAGUUUGACUGGGGCGGUCGCCUCCUAAAAGGUAACGGAGGCGCUCAAAGGUUCCCUCAGAAUGGUUGGAAAUCAUUCAUAGAGUGUAAAGGCAUAAGGGAGCUUGACUGCGAGACCUACAAGUCGAGCAGGGUCGAAAGACGGACUUAGUGAUCCGGUGGUUCCGCAUGGAAGGGCCAUCGCUCAACGGAUAAAAGCUACCCCGGGGAUAACAGGCUUAUCUCCCCCAAGAGUUCACAUCGACGGGGAGGUUUGGCACCUCGAUGUCGGCUCAUCGCAUCCUGGGGCUGUAGUCGGUCCCAAGGGUUGGGCUGUUCGCCCAUUAAAGCGGUACGCGAGCUGGGUUCAGAACGUCGUGAGACAGUUCGGUCCCUAUCCGUCGUGGGCGUAGGAAAUUUGAGAGGAGCUGUCCUUAGUACGAGAGGACCGGGAUGGACAUACCUCUGGUGUACCAGUUGUCGUGCCAACGGCAUAGCUGGGUAGCUAUGUGUGGACGGGAUAAGUGCUGAAAGCAUCUAAGCAUGAAGCCCCCCUCAAGAUGAGAUUUCCCAACUUCGGUUAUAAGAUCCCUCAAAGAUGAUGAGGUUAAUAGGUUCGAGGUGGAAGCAUGGUGACAUGUGGAGCUGACGAAUACUAAUCGAUCGAAGACUUAAUCAA